UACAUGCUUUUUAAUUUUGACAACAGUUGAAGUAGCUGAAUGUUACUGUUGGGUUAAUUAUUUUUAAAUUAAGGCUUAAAUAUAAGGGCAAACUUGAUCUGCUGUAUUUUCACGUUCUUAUAACAACAUCGGUUUUCAUAAACCAGAUGGUGCAACUCAGAGCAUUUCUAAUAAAUAUGGAGUGAUGAAGAGGUUACUGUUUGAAUCUUUUAGUAUACAGAUGCAUCUCAGGGACUUCGUUAUAGAUUCUUCUAUUCCAUUAUAGUUGGAUCUUGUAUUCAGGCAAAAAAAUAACAAUCCUGUCUUCUUAGUCUUACUGUGUGUGUUUGAAUGGGAGGGAGGGUUGGAGCGGGGAGAAGGAAAUAUGUUAAGAUUUCACAAAGUAUUGCAACAGAUGGUUGCCUUGAUUCAAUUCAAUACAGGAGCUACAAUUCCAACUCCUGUAGAAUUGGCUUUGCAAACCUGUUACUGGAAUGUCUUAGUUGCCUAUUUAAAAGUGAAACAUAAAUUCAAGGUGUUACUAUCCAAAGAGGUAUUGGAGAGGUUCAAGGCAGAGCUUCUUGGCCAGUAAACAUUGCCUGGGCAUGCAGGUACACUUCAAUCUGUAAUCCUGUAAAGAAGUGCAGGAGGAUGCUUGAAGGGAAGUGCUUUCUGCCGACUGAGGGAGGCAAAAAUAUCUAGGCUUUCUGAAAUGCUGCUGCUGGGCCAGAUCUUCUAAUUAUAGCUCUAAAAUGACAAGUGCUUGGUAGCCUGGAAGCCAAAUGCAGUGUUCCACAACUGGCCAUUUAAAGUCAUGGCAUGAUGGAUGCUGCCCUGGGUGUGCUGGUGGCUGCUUCUGGUCAUGAUUUUUCCCUGCCUUGCAGUUUAGCUCUCUGAACGUGCAUUUCAUUUCCACUCGUAACUGCCUCUCAGUGUUUUGUGCCUUCUGCAGCACCUGAGCCCUGGUAAGGGUUCCAGCUGAGUGUUACGUACAGAAAUCUGUUUCAGAGUUUUCCUCAGCGAAUUACACAGCUAUAAUGAAGUUGCACAACUGUUCUGCCACCGUGAUUUUCCCUUCGUUUGUAUAUUGCCAGAAAUAGAGUGAAAGGUAGAAUGGAACAGUAUUGGCAGGUAUCACAGCUUUUCAGCCCUUAGUGACUUGGACCAUUAGUUACAGUGCCAAAUAUUAUAUGGUGAGCUUCUUGUUAGAAACCGCAUUGAAAUUUGUGUUGUGAAGGUGAUCAGUCAUCUUUUGUAGGAACAGUUUUUGUCUACAAGGAGACUGGUGCUGACUCCGUGGUAAAAGACUUUGUAUUCUUUACAGAGCCAACUUUUCUUCCUCUUUGUUUUAAAAAUGCUUUGAUACGUUUUUAGUCUGUAAUGACAGGGCACAUGCUAUGCACUAAAAUUGAAUCUUUUAUGUAAGUCAGUGAUACCAAAAUGAAAUUGGUAACACUGUUGGAAUAAGUUGCUGAAACAGACUUUUGUAUUUCUUGGUAUAAUGUGCAAUAUCAACUUUUCCUAAUUAAAAAUGCAAUGUAUGCGUAAUUGUUUUUCCAUGAAGUAUUUAAUUGUGGAUGGGAAAUCUUUAAAAGGACCAAAUGCUCUUCAUGAAAUGUCCUGAAUUUUCAACACUGAGCUUAAAUUUUAUGAAUCUGCAUUAAAAAAUAGUGUAUUUGA
Molecule: long non-coding RNA, 1659 nt
Organism: Strigops habroptila (Kakapo)
Lineage: Eukaryota; Metazoa; Chordata; Aves; Psittaciformes; Psittacidae
Source: Ensembl